Molecule: ribosomal RNA, 300 nt
Filed under: uncultured Helicobacteraceae bacterium
Lineage: Bacteria; Pseudomonadati; Campylobacterota; Epsilonproteobacteria; Campylobacterales; Helicobacteraceae
Description: bacterial SSU rRNA
Rfam family: Bacterial small subunit ribosomal RNA
Source: RNAcentral
UGCAUAGGUAACGUGCCCCUUAGUCUGGGAUAGCCACUGGAAACGGUGAUUAAUACCGGAUACUCCUUCUACCUUGAUGGUAGUCGGGAAAGUUUUUCGCUAAGGGAUCGGCCUAUGUUGUAUCAGGUAGUUGGUAGGGUAAUGGCCUACCAAGCCUAUGACACAUAGCGGGUCUGAGAGGAUGAUCCGCCACACUGGUACUGAGACACGGACCAGACUCCUACGGGAGGCAGCAGUGGGGAAUAUUGCACAAUGGACGAAAGUCUGAUGCAGCAACGCCGCGUGGAGGAUGACACAUUU